Molecule: long non-coding RNA, 237 nt
Filed under: Erythranthe guttata (spotted monkey flower)
Lineage: Eukaryota; Viridiplantae; Streptophyta; Magnoliopsida; Lamiales; Phrymaceae
Description: long non-coding RNA (EGUT_LNC000510)
Source: RNAcentral
UAGAGAGAUAAUUUAUGAAGAGAGAGAGAGAGAGAGAGUUCCUAGGAAAAUUAAAUAAAAAAGAAGAAGAAAGUAGUAAUAACUAAUAAAUAAAGGAAAAUCGGGGAGCUCGAUGUCGCAGGCAUUCGAGGGUUAUGGAAAAUGGCAAAAAGCAAACUAGCUAGGAAGUUUCCCACACAAAAGUCAAAUGCUCAAAGACAGACACACAACACAACAGAACGCACCCAAACACGCACC